AAACCAGGCUGAAGAAACCAGGCUGGAGACCCACCUGGUCCUGGGUACUGAGAUAUUCACCAGUCCCCUUUAGAAAAGGACCCAGGCAAGAGAGUUAUGUCACCUAUGUGCAGGUGCCGCCCUUAUGUCACAAUGCUCCAUGUGGGCAGGGUCAAGCAGAAAGUCAUAUCACCUGGAUGAUAGGACCAGCAAAACAUUACAAAGCCUUCCUUAAAGCAUGGCCCAGGCAAAAGAAUACCAUCACCUUUGUGCCUGACCUAGCAACAUGUCACUAUUCCAGUGUGUAGGCCCCAAGCAGAAGAGCCAUAUUACCUACAUGACAGGCCCUGUGAUAUGUCACAAUGCCCUCUUUGGGGCAUGGUCCUGGCAAAAGAGUAUCAUCACCUGUCUCCCUGGCCUAGGAAUAUGUCACCAUCCUGCCCUAUGUGUAGAGCCAAUUUCAGAGAAAAGAGUUAUGUCUUCUAAGUGAUGGACACAGUGAUAUGUUAGAAUGAUGUCUGAGGGCAUGGUGCAGGCAAGAAUGAACAUCACCUGGAUGCUGGAUCCAGUGAUGUCACAAUUCUUCCUGAGAGCAGGGCCCAAGCAGAAGAGACACAUCACUUCAAGGUUGGACCAGGUAGAUAUCAAAAUCCCAUAUGGAUUAGAUUUAUGAUACCACACAUGUCCUGUUUUCAUGUAGGACAGUUGCCUUCAUCCAUCUGUGAUGGUGAAAGUCCUUACAGUCGACUGGCUGUGCAUACAAGACUCACAGUUUCUUCUGUGUGCUAGGCCCUGUUAUAACACUCUCUGUAAAACUGAAGGUUGUUAUAAAAUAUGUGUGAGUGUUGUAAU
This 831-nucleotide long non-coding RNA is filed under the name Pan troglodytes (chimpanzee). Its description in RNAcentral is "lincRNA". The record is from RNAcentral. Lineage: Eukaryota; Metazoa; Chordata; Mammalia; Primates; Hominidae.